This 166-nucleotide unclassified non-coding RNA is filed under the name soil metagenome. RNAcentral's name for it is "partial contains 5.8S ribosomal RNA, internal transcribed spacer 2, and large subunit ribosomal RNA". The record is from RNAcentral.
AAGACUAUAGACCUGCGGAGUACCUGCGGAGGGAUCAUUACCAAUCUCUGUGGGGCUCGUAUGUGAGUCUCGCGAAACUCUGUAUUUAAAACCCAACUCGUGAAAUAUAAUAAAAACGUAUACGUAUGUAUAAGUAAAAAAAGAUAACUUUCAACAACGGAUCUCU